RNAcentral lists this long non-coding RNA (593 nucleotides) under Phasianus colchicus (ring-necked pheasant). Its description in RNAcentral is "lncRNA (ENSPCLG00000005775.1)". Lineage: Eukaryota; Metazoa; Chordata; Aves; Galliformes; Phasianidae. The record is from RNAcentral.
AGAAGAAGAAAUGGUGCUCAUUUUUUAAGACCAGAACAUCGAAAGUGUCUCCAUUCAACUGCCUUGAAACUUGCCUGAACCGUGGUUCUCUGUUUUCUCCUCCAUGUCUGGUUUUUGCCCAAGGGAAGACCACAAUUUGGGAUAACCUCUGCUCUCCAACAGACUUGUCAUGUGUGGGGAUGGUAUCUCUGAGCUUGUGCCUCUGUAAGGCCACGCACUCUACUGUGCUGAGUCCAAGAGAAGACUUCCAAGUGAUUGCCAGGGAGAGGGUGGUGACGAGGCAGUAGCCGUGAGGCAAGGCGAGCAUUGGGGAUGUUGUGAGCAGGACAUGGGAGAGCAAUGAUGCCAGACUGAGCACACUAAGCAGAUGAGUGUCAUGGGGAAAGGUACGUGAUGGUGUAAUAGCUGUCUGUGUAAUGGAAGGCUGGAUGGGUACAAGCAAUGAAAUUGGAAAUCAAUCCCAAAUCCUGCUGAAUCCAGGAGACCUUCACACCCAUGAAGGCACUGCUGCUGAGUCGGGCCAAUGGCUGUGUGCACACCCAAGAAAUACACACGUGCUGAUAGAAAACAGAUUUAAAAGGUACCUAAAAUAA